GUGCGUCAUUUCCGGGAGAGCGUGGGGUUUCGCUCUCCGGGGCAGUGGCUGCUGUCAGAAUCCCUUCUUUGAGGAGGCACCUGCUCUUCCGCUUUUCUCCAGCUUUCCAUGAGCUGUGGGGAGUAGCUUGGGUGUCCUCUCACUCUUACUAGAUAGAAAUCAAGAAAGCGCCUUGAGGCGAGAGAAGAGUCCCGUCAGGAGGCCCAGUGGGGUCCUCCACACUCCACGGUCCCCGCCUCCGGGAAGGCCGCGCGUGGCAUGGGCAGAGCGCGGAAUCCUGGCUCCACUGCCCACCUGCCCGUUGACUUUAGGCGACGCCAACCCCAGGCUGGUGAGGAGUCCCUGAAAUAUAAGGCACGGGAGCCACCCGGAGCCACCCGACCUGCCACGUUAAGCAGCAUGAGGGACCGAAAGAUGAGUCUGGGCCAGUCUCUUAGGAGCUUCUGGUCUCGCAGAGAGGCGGGAGAUUACUCCGAAAGCACAGCGGCAACAGACUAUAAAUUCCCCAAGAGAAGUUUCCAAGAGCAAAAGCAGCUGAAGAACUGUGAACUAGAUUCAGGUGCUUUUCCUUUCACUUACAGCAAAUGAGACAAUACUGAAAAACAGUAAAAGCAAACACCAGAAAGAAGUCUACAGAACACAUAAAACAAUGUGGAUGGUUUUGCCUUAAUUACCUAACACUCUAAAAAUAAAAAGGCUCGGUACAGACA
Molecule: long non-coding RNA, 710 nt
Filed under: Homo sapiens (human)
Lineage: Eukaryota; Metazoa; Chordata; Mammalia; Primates; Hominidae
Description: RSL1D1 divergent transcript (RSL1D1-DT)
Source: RNAcentral